RNAcentral lists this ribosomal RNA (322 nucleotides) under uncultured soil bacterium. Its description in RNAcentral is "bacterial SSU rRNA". It matches the Rfam family "Bacterial small subunit ribosomal RNA", at positions 26 to 359 of the family's 1533-position model. The record is from RNAcentral.
AGAUUGAACGCUGGCGGCAUGCCUAACACAUGCAAGUCGAACGGGAGUAGCAAUACUCUAGUGGCGGACGGGUGAGGAAUACGUAGGAAUUUGCCCUUAAGUGGGGGAUAACCCGGGGAAACCCGGAUUAAUACCGCAUGACCUCGAAAGAGCAAAGUGGGGGAUCGCAAGACCUCACGCUUUUGGAGAAGCCUACGUCGGAUUAGCUAGUUGGUGAGGUAAUGGCUCACCAAGGCGACGAUCCCGUAACUGGUCCGAGAGGAUGAUCAGUCACACCGGACUGAGACACGGUCCGGACUCCGUACGGGAGCAGCAGGUGGGG